This is a long non-coding RNA of Nothoprocta perdicaria, 326 nucleotides long. RefSeq lists it as uncharacterized. The transcript is spliced from 4 exons. NCBI's taxonomy places the organism in Eukaryota, Metazoa, Chordata, Aves, Tinamiformes, Tinamidae. The record is from RefSeq and is a predicted model, not a curated record.
UCAGGUUAAAUGACUGAGAAGAUAAAAUAAGGAAACCAAACCCUCUACAGUGAAGUGACAUAUGGCUGCUCUGCAGUUGGGAAGGAGUGUUAAAGAGAAUGAGAAUCCUCUUCUGCUUGAGCCUUGCUCUUUUGAAACACAGGCUGUCUUUCUGCAUUGGCAAUGGGACCUUUCAAACCUAACAAAGUCCAGCAGCUUGGCUUGUCCAGAAGCUGUCUGUAUUGACUGCAUCUCCUUCCCUUCAAUUCUUCCACUGACACAGAUUUUUAUGAAAGUAACAGAUGCCAAGUUUACGUAAAAGCUAAUUCCUCCUCUUCUAGAUGACC